Molecule: ribosomal RNA, 159 nt
Filed under: Lulworthiales sp. MUT 1753
Lineage: Eukaryota; Fungi; Ascomycota; Sordariomycetes; Lulworthiales
Description: 5.8S ribosomal RNA
Rfam family: 5.8S ribosomal RNA
About the family: 5.8S ribosomal RNA (5.8S rRNA) is a component of the large subunit of the eukaryotic ribosome. It is transcribed by RNA polymerase I as part of the 45S precursor that also contains 18S and 28S rRNA.
Source: RNAcentral
AACUUUCAGCAACGGAUCUCUUGGCUCUGGCAUCGAUGAAGAACGCAGCGAAAUGCGAUACGUAAUGUGAAUUGCAGAAUUCAGCGAAUCAUCGAAUCUUUGAACGCAUCAGGCGCCUGCCGGUAUUCCGGCGGGCAUGCCUGUCCGAGCGUCAUUCUU